Molecule: small nuclear RNA, 106 nt
Filed under: Procavia capensis (Cape rock hyrax)
Lineage: Eukaryota; Metazoa; Chordata; Mammalia; Hyracoidea; Procaviidae
Source: RNAcentral
ACGCUGGCUUCAGCAGCACAUGUACUAAAAUCUGAGUACAAAGAGAAGAUGAGUAUGGUUCUUUGCACAGGGAUGACAUCCAAUCUGUGAAGUGUUCCCUAUUUUU